GCAGACACAUUCCAGCCAAUCAGCAGCAGACCCUCCCUCCCAGACCCUCCCACCUCCCUCCCAGACCCUCCCACCUCCCUCCCAGCUCACUAAGAAUGCAGCUUCACAAUGAAUGUAAAAUGGAUGCUGUCCAGGAGGUGGGAGGGUCUGGGAGGGAGGGUCUGCUGCUGAUUGGCUGGAAUGUGUCUG
Pelobates cultripes (western spadefoot toad) is the source of this 189-nucleotide non-coding RNA. The record is from the annotation of a GenBank genome assembly. NCBI's taxonomy places the organism in Eukaryota, Metazoa, Chordata, Amphibia, Anura, Pelobatidae.